CGUUGUCCGGAUUAUUGGGCGUAAAGCGCGCGCAGGCGGAUMGUCAGUCUGUCUUAAAAGUUCGGGGCUUAACCCCGUGAUGGGAUGGAAACUGCUGAUCUAGAGUAUCGGAGAGGAAAGUGGAAUUCCUAGUGUAGCGGUGAAAUGCGUAGAUAUUAGGAAGAACACCAGUGGCGAAGGCGACUUUCUGGACGAAAACUGACGCUGAGGCGCGAAAGCCAGGGGAGCGAACGGGAUUAGAUACCCCGGUAGUCCUGGCCGUAAACGAUGGGUACUAGGUGUAGGAGGUAUCGACCCCUUCUGUGCCGGAGUUAACGCAAUAAGUACCCCGCCUGGGGAGUACGACCGCAAGGUUGAAACUCAAAGGAAUUGACGGGGGCCCGCACAAGCGGUGGAGUAUGUGGUUUAAUUCGACGCAACGCGAAGAACCUUACCAGGUCUUGACAUUGAUGGACAGAACUAGAGAUAGUUCCUCUUCUUCGGAAGCCAGAAAACAGGUGGUGCACGGUUGUCGUCAGCUCGUGUCGUG
RNAcentral lists this ribosomal RNA (529 nucleotides) under uncultured bacterium. RNAcentral's name for it is "bacterial SSU rRNA". It matches the Rfam family "Bacterial small subunit ribosomal RNA", at positions 539 to 1069 of the family's 1533-position model. The record is from RNAcentral.